This 809-nucleotide ribosomal RNA is filed under the name Halorubrum sp. Its description in RNAcentral is "bacterial SSU rRNA". It matches the Rfam family "Archaeal small subunit ribosomal RNA", at positions 102 to 910 of the family's 1478-position model. Lineage: Archaea; Methanobacteriati; Methanobacteriota; Halobacteria; Halobacteriales; Haloferacaceae. The record is from RNAcentral.
GGCCAAACUACCCUUCGGAGCACGAUACCCUCGGGAAACUGAGGCUAAUAGUGCAUCCCACAGCCCACCUGGAAUGAGGGCUGUGUCAAACGCUCCGGCGCCGAAGGAUGUGGCUGCGGCCGAUUAGGUAGACGGUGGGGUAACGGCCCACCGUGCCAAUAAUCGGUACGGGUCAUGAGAGUGAGAACCCGGAGACGGAAUCUGAGACAAGAUUCCGGGCCCUACGGGGCGCAGCAGGCGCGAAACCUUUACACUGCACGCCAGUGCGAUAAGGGGAUUCCAAGUGCGCAGGCAUAGAGCCUGCGCUUUUGUACACCGUAGGGAGGUGUACGAAUAAGGGCUGGGCAAGACCGGUGCCAGCCGCCGCGGUAAUACCGGCAGCCCGAGUGAUGGCCGAUCUUAUUGGGCCUAAAGCGUCCGUAGCUGGCCGCACAAGUCCAUCGGAAAAUCCACCCGCUCAACGGGUGGGCGUCCGGUGGAAACUGUGUGGCUUGGGACCGGAAGGCGCGACGGGUACGUCCGGGGUAGGAGUGAAAUCCCGUAAUCCUGGACGGACCGCCGAUGGCGAAAGCACGUCGCGAGGACGGAUCCGACAGUGAGGGACGAAAGCCAGGGUCUCGAACCGGAUUAGAUACCCGGGUAGUCCUGGCCGUAAACAAUGUCUGUUAGGUGUGGCUCCCACUACGAGUGGGUGCUGUGCCGUAGGGAAGCCGCUAAACAGACCGCCUGGGAAGUACGUCCGCAAGGAUGAAACUUAAAGGAAUUGGCGGGGGAGCACUACAACCGGAGGAGCCUGCGGUUUAAUUGGA